CCUCUGCUGAUGAGUAACCGUUUGACUUUCGUUCUUCUGAGCAUGCUGAAGCCAUGUUUAUCGAUCUGAGGAGG
RNAcentral lists this small nucleolar RNA (74 nucleotides) under Pterocles gutturalis (yellow-throated sandgrouse). RNAcentral's name for it is "Small nucleolar RNA SNORD59". It matches the Rfam family "Small nucleolar RNA SNORD59". Rfam says of the family: U59 belongs to the C/D class of snoRNA which contain the C (UGAUGA) and D (CUGA) box motifs. Most of the members of the box C/D family function in directing site-specific 2'-O-methylation of substrate RNAs. The record is from Rfam by way of RNAcentral. Lineage: Eukaryota; Metazoa; Chordata; Aves; Pterocliformes; Pteroclidae.